This is a long non-coding RNA of Aethalodelphis obliquidens (Pacific white-sided dolphin), 1103 nucleotides long. RefSeq lists it as uncharacterized. The transcript has 3 exons. The record is from RefSeq and is a predicted model, not a curated record. Lineage: Eukaryota; Metazoa; Chordata; Mammalia; Artiodactyla; Delphinidae.
CUAACCACUGGACUGCCAGGGAAUUCCCACAUGCCAUGUGGGAAGAGAAGAACGCCCAGCAAUAUGAAGACAUGAUUCCGAGAGCACGUUAAUGUCUUUACAUUAGUCUCCACCUGUCCAUCCGCCCUGAUCAGAGGACAGAAGGACCAGAUAGAAUAUCAAAAUCAGGAUCCAAAGAAGGCAUGCACGACGAUGAGUACUAGAAAUUCUGCCACAAGAGGGAGCAAAAAGAUUGGAGCAGGUGUAUCCAUAGACGUGUGAAAAAGCCUCAGAAUCCCUACCGGGGCUGACGGAAGGUAUUUCUCUCCCUAAACCAGAUAGAGAACAUCUAUUAACGUGGGGCUGGUGAGGGACAAGGGCCACAUAAAAACUCUUGCUUCUGGAUCUGAUGUGUGUACACUUGGGCUGAGAAGGGCAGUUCCUGAAAGCCAGUGCCAUUAUCCUCCAGGGAGCAUAGAAGACCCAAGAAGACACCUGAGUUACAUCUCCCCCCUUUCCUUCCCUGUGUCUUCCUAGAGGAGUGGAAAAAUGGCCCCAUGGACUGCAGUUUCUGCCCCGAUGGCCAAGCCCAGGUGCACUUAGUGGAUGGGGCUAGAUGUCUUCCAAAGUUGCUGUUGUUAUUGUUCAGAAAAACACAAAACACUUUGGUCAAGUAUCUUGUUCUUUUAAAUCUAAGUGACUCUCAAGAAAAAAACAAUGUCUGCUUUUGAUUAGUUCACUCUCAUCUCAUUCUAUCAUAAGCAUUAUUUUUGUUUCGCUUGGAAAACCUAAGGAAACUUGUUUUUUCAACUUUUCAGGGGUAGGGAUUUAGGUUUUAUACUGAGAAGUGGCCUUUAAAGAAAACAAAACUCAGCAAAUCCUUGCUUUGGGUCAGUACGAAAGCCACAGACCCAGAACCACUGCAGUAUUUUCAUAUGACAUCAUUAAUGUUCAUUAUGGUCAUCCUACCCAGAAAGGUAAGGCAGUCAAUGCUCCAUUACUGACACCCAAAACGAAGCACUGUAGGUACCUAACUGAAAUAUACAUCUGAUCGACCUGACCACCAAACUGUCUUUUUUGGGUAAUUCCCACUUUUUUUUUUUUUUUUUUUUUUUUUCAGUACG